RNAcentral lists this ribosomal RNA (472 nucleotides) under uncultured bacterium. RNAcentral's name for it is "partial 16S ribosomal RNA". It matches the Rfam family "Bacterial small subunit ribosomal RNA", at positions 28 to 507 of the family's 1533-position model. The record is from RNAcentral.
GACGAACGCUGGCGGCGUGCUUAACACAUGCAAGUCGAACGAUGAACCCGGAGCUUGCUCUGGGGGAUUAGUGGCGAACGGGUGAGUAACACGUGAGUAACCUGCCCUGGACUCUGGGAUAAGCGUUGGAAACGACGUCUAAUACCGGAUAGGACCUUGGAUCGCAUGAUCUGGGGUGGAAAGUUUUUUCGGUCUGGGAUGGACUCGCGGCCUAUCAGCUUGUUGGUGAGGUAAUGGCUCACCAAGGCGUCGACGGGUAGCCGGCCUGAGAGGGUGACCGGCCAGACUGGGACGGAGACACGGACCAGACUCCUACGGGAGGCAGCAGUGGGGAAUAUUGCACAAUGGGCGAAAGCCUGAUGCAGCAACGCCGCGUGCGGGAGGACGGCCGUCGGGUUGUAAACCGCUUUUAGUAGGGAAGAAGGGCUUCGGCUUGACGGUACCUGCAGAAAAAGGACCGGCUAACUACGUG